Molecule: non-coding RNA, 187 nt
Organism: Oryza punctata
Lineage: Eukaryota; Viridiplantae; Streptophyta; Magnoliopsida; Poales; Poaceae
Source: Rfam
UUUAAGCGCAGCUAUGAAUUUCCGUGUCCAACUUUAAUCAUCCGUCUUAUUUUUUUUAUGAUUACUAUUUUUAUUGUUAUUAUAUGAUAAAACAUGAAUAAUACUUCAUGCGUGAUUUAUAUUUUUAAUUUUUUUAAAUAAGAUGAACAAUUAAAGUUAGACAUGAAAAUUUAUGGUUGCGUUUAAA